Corapipo altera (White-ruffed manakin) is the source of this 181-nucleotide long non-coding RNA. RefSeq lists it as uncharacterized. NCBI's taxonomy places the organism in Eukaryota, Metazoa, Chordata, Aves, Passeriformes, Pipridae. The record is from RefSeq and is a predicted model, not a curated record. The transcript is spliced from 2 exons.
AGGUGGGGAGGCAGACAGCCCUGCCUGAAAUCCUGGCAUCAGACACCUGGCAGUCCUUCCUGCUCCAGGCACCUUGCAGGUCACCUUCACAGCAAAUAGGAAUCAUUCAAUCACUGCUGGAUAACAUCAAGGGCACUCUCAGAGGUUGGCAAUUGGAAUGAUUAAAAAAAUAUGAGCAAGA